Molecule: ribosomal RNA, 494 nt
Filed under: uncultured bacterium
Lineage: Bacteria
Description: partial 16S ribosomal RNA
Rfam family: Bacterial small subunit ribosomal RNA
Source: RNAcentral
GACGAACGCUGGCGGCGUGCCUAAUACAUGCAAGUAGAACGCUGAAGGAGGAGCUUGCUCUUCUGGAUGAGUUGCGAACGGGUGAGUAACGCGUAGGUAACCUGCCUGGUAGCGGGGGAUAACUAUUGGAAACGAUAGCUAAUACCGCAUAACAGUAGAUGUUGCAUGACAUUUGCUUAAAAGGUGCAAUUGCACCACUACCAGAUGGACCUGCGUUGUAUUAGCUAGUUGGUGGGGUAACGGCUCACCAAGGCGACGAUACAUAGCCGACCUGAGAGGGUGAUCGGCCACACUGGGACUGAGACACGGCCCAGACUCCUACGGGAGGCAGCAGUAGGGAAUCUUCGGCAAUGGACGGAAGUCUGACCGAGCAACGCCGCGUGAGUGAAGAAGGUUUUCGGAUCGUAAAGCUCUGUUGUAAGAGAAGAACGAGUGUGAGAGUGGAAAGUUCACACUGUGACGGUAUCUUACCAGAAAGGGGCGGCUAACUACGU